UUCCAGACUCCUACGGGAGGCAGCAGUGAGGAAUAUUGGUCAAUGGCCGGAAGGCUGAACCAGCCAUGCCGCGUGAAGGUCAGUGCCCUAUGGGCGUUAAACUUCUUUUGUGCGGGAGCAAUAAUGGUCACGUGUGGCCAGACGAGAGUACCGUACGAAUAAGCAUCGGCUAACUCCGUGCCAGCAGCCGCGGUAAUACGGGGGAUGCAAGCGUUAUCCGGAUUUAUUGGGUUUAAAGGGUGCGUAGGCGGACGCUUAAGUCAGCGGUAAAAUUGCGGGGCUCAACCUCGUCGAGCCGUUGAAACUGGGUGCCUUGAGUGGGCGAGAAGUACGCGGAAUGCGUGGUGUAGCGGUGAAAUGCAUAGAUAUCACGCAGAACUCCGAUUGCGAAGGCAGCAUACCGGCGCCCUACUGACGCUGAGGCACGAAAGCGUGGGUAUCGAACAGGAUUAGAUACCCCAGUA
RNAcentral lists this ribosomal RNA (464 nucleotides) under uncultured bacterium. RNAcentral describes it as "bacterial SSU rRNA". It matches the Rfam family "Bacterial small subunit ribosomal RNA", at positions 329 to 792 of the family's 1533-position model. The record is from RNAcentral.